UUUCUUUUCACAGGAAUUUUCAUACCUUGGAGAAUAACACUAUAUGUUUCAGUGAGGAUGAUCAGGUCUACAUUCGUGGAACGCUUUUUGGAGAUGAUGUCUUUCAUGAAUUUGGCAUAUAUUGGCAUUUGUUCUAGAGCUUCAGAAAAUGGAAUGUUUAUUUCAAUUUUCUUAAACAUUUCUAAAAACUUCUCAAAAUUCUUUUCAUGUUGAUCUUUC
RNAcentral lists this long non-coding RNA (219 nucleotides) under Lathyrus oleraceus (garden pea). RNAcentral describes it as "Pisum sativum (pea) long non-coding RNA (PSAT_LNC017116)". Lineage: Eukaryota; Viridiplantae; Streptophyta; Magnoliopsida; Fabales; Fabaceae. The record is from RNAcentral.